Molecule: long non-coding RNA, 1501 nt
Organism: Corapipo altera (White-ruffed manakin)
Lineage: Eukaryota; Metazoa; Chordata; Aves; Passeriformes; Pipridae
Exons: 3
Source: RefSeq, a predicted model, not a curated record
UUUCCCCAGGUCUAUCUGGCCAUGCACUGCUGUGUCUGUGCUGCUGAGGGGUAGCUGGAACAAAUGGAACAAGAACAAAGCUGGACAGGAUCAGUACUACAGCCUGAGAGAGGGUGAGACCAUAAUUCUGGGAAGGCCUCAUUACAGCAGCCAUAUCAACAUGGAACAUGUGGAAAAUAGGGGAAAACUGGCUAGAGGUAAUAAAGCUGAAGGACACCCAUAGCAAGGCCAAAGGAGAUUGGCAGAGGAGGAUGUCUAAUGAAAGAUGUUGACUGGCCUGCAAAUCAAAGGAUAAUAUUCCAAAAGGACAGAGAAACAAUGGAAGGUAAAGGAUCAACAAUGUUUACAGAGAAAGCACAGACAUGAUGAUGGGUGAGAUUUUACAGCCUGUGUGGUGUGGUGUGUAGAUGUAACACAGUGUCACAUACUCAACAAACCAAAGUGGAACAGGGCCUGGAGUCAUUUAAAAUGGUACCAUGUGGGCAUGUCAAGAGUGGGAACUAAACAGAGACUGAAAAGAAAGCACAGAAGUCAAGAAAGCAUCUGUUCUGGAAGAACAGAAACAUCAUUUGUGACAAUUUGGUUUCAGAGACAUAUGCUGGUUUUAUUAUUCAGCCAGUGGUAAAACAACAUUAAAGCUUCUAAUGAUUAUUUACUAAGAAAAAUAAUAUUGACUUCAUGCUCAGAUAACUCUUUUGGAUCCCAUUAUGAUGUUGCCAUGGAACCAACCCAUGAUACUGGCAAGCUCAUAUUCCAUAAGGGCAAACAUAACACUUGCAACCAGUAAAAUAAUUAUUAUAUGUACUUAGUACAUCAGGAAGUUUCCAAAGUUGAGAAAAAAUAUAAGAAAAACUGAUUUUGAUUUAAAAAAACCAAACGAGAUAUAGAAAUUACAUUUUUUUAAAGGGUAUCUUUAUUCUGGUCAACAAACCACUGCUAAUGCUACUGGCAGAUGACACAAAAACAUUGGCAAAUACUGGAGAUAAGAGUGGUAAAUUACAAAGAUGAGCUAAUCAUACAGAGCAAUCUGAAAUGUUUGUGAAACAGAAAACAAAAGAGUCCUGAAUUGAGUUAAAUUUCAUGGAUGCACUGGGAACAAGGGGUUGAGGUCCUAUCUACAGGACCAGGGCUGUAUCUGGAGGACAGUGAUUCAGAAUAGAAAUUACAGAUUGAUGCUGGUUGAUAUGAACGAAGUUCAGAGGUAGCCACUAUUUUCUGUCAAGGAAAUGAUUGCUGUAGCAUUUGGAUUAAAAUGUCCCUAAAACUGGCUUUGCUCUGUGUAAGCAAAUAAGUGGACAUGGCAACCAAAACCACAAGGAAGCCUUUUACCUACAGCCAGACCUCUGAUAGCAGGAGGACAAGAGUAGACACAAGUGUCUUCAAUGGCACAUUCCAUUUACUUCUGGGAAGUAACCAUGUUUUUCAUCUCUGAAUCUGUGUUCUGUUUUCCUCUGUAAUAAUUAAAAUGGUCUGUAAUAAAAAUAAAGAGAUCAUAAAAUAA